RNAcentral lists this ribosomal RNA (468 nucleotides) under uncultured bacterium. Its description in RNAcentral is "partial 16S ribosomal RNA". It matches the Rfam family "Bacterial small subunit ribosomal RNA", at positions 28 to 507 of the family's 1533-position model. The record is from RNAcentral.
GACGAACGCUGGCGGCGUGCUUAACACAUGCAAGUCGAACGGAAAGGCCCUGCUUUUGUGGGGUGCUCGAGUGGCGAACGGGUGAGUAACACGUGAGUAACCUGCCCUUGACUUUGGGAUAACUUCAGGAAACUGGGGCUAAUACCGGAUAUGAGCUCCUGCUGCAUGGUGGGGGUUGGAAAGUUUCGGCGGUUGGGGAUGGACUCGCGGCUUAUCAGCUUGUUGGUGGGGUAGUGGCUUACCAAGGCUUUGACGGGUAGCCGGCCUGAGAGGGUGACCGGCCACAUUGGGACUGAGAGACGGCCCAGACUCCUACGGGAGGCAGCAGGGGGGAAUAUUGAACAAGGGGCGGAAGCCGGAUGCAGAAACGCCGCGUGAGGGAUGACGGCCUUCGGGUUGUAAACCGCUUGCGCCUGUGACGAAGCGUGAGUGAAGGUAAUGGGUAAAGAAGCACCGGCUAAAUACGUG